Molecule: unclassified non-coding RNA, 336 nt
Filed under: soil metagenome
Description: partial contains 5.8S ribosomal RNA, internal transcribed spacer 2, and large subunit ribosomal RNA
Rfam family: 5.8S ribosomal RNA (bases 1-120)
Source: RNAcentral
GAUGAAGAACGCAGCGAAAUGCGAUAAGUAAUGUGAAUUGCAGAAUUCAGUGAAUCAUCGAAUCUUUGAACGCACAUUGCGCCCGCCAGUAUUCUGGCGGGCAUGCCUGUUCGAGCGUCAUUUCAACCAUCAAGCCCCCGGCUUGUGUUGGGGACCUGCGGCUGCCGCAGGCCCUUAAAAGCAGUGGCGGGCUCGCUGUCACACCGAGCGUAGUAGCAUACAUCUCGCUCUGGGCGUGCUGCGGGUUCCGGCCGUUAAACCACCUUCAUAACCCAAGGUUGACCUCGGAUCAGGUAGGAAGACCCGCUGAACUUAAGCAUAUCAAUAAGCGGAGGA